AUUGAACGCUGGCGGCAUGCCUUACACAUGCAAAUCGAACGGUAACGGGCCUUCGGGUGCCGACGAGUGGCGAACGGGUGAGUAAUACAUCGGAACGUGCCCGAUCGUGGGGGAUAACGAGGCGAAAGCUUUGCUAAUACCGCAUACGAUCUACGUAUGAAAGCAGGGGACCGCAAGGCCUUGCGCGGGCGGAGCGGCCGAUGGCAGAUUAGGUAGUUGGUGGGAUAAAAGCUUACCAAGCCGACGAUCUGUAGCUGGUCUGAGAGGAUGAUCAGCCACACUGGGACUGAGACACGGCCCAGACUCCUACGGGAGGCAGCAGUGGGGAAUUUUGGACAAUGGGCGCAAGCCUGAUCCAGCCAUGCCGCGUGCAGGAUGAAGGCCUUCGGGUUGUAAACUGAUUUUGUACGGAACGAAAAGCCUUCUUUUAAUACAGGAGGGUCAUGACGGUACCGUAAGAAUAAGCACCGGCUAACUACGUG
Molecule: ribosomal RNA, 482 nt
Filed under: uncultured bacterium
Lineage: Bacteria
Description: partial 16S ribosomal RNA
Rfam family: Bacterial small subunit ribosomal RNA
Source: RNAcentral